Molecule: non-coding RNA, 630 nt
Organism: Chiloscyllium plagiosum (whitespotted bambooshark)
Lineage: Eukaryota; Metazoa; Chordata; Chondrichthyes; Orectolobiformes; Hemiscylliidae
Source: RefSeq, a predicted model, not a curated record
ACCAGUACGCAUGCGCCUCCACCGUCGCCCCCUCCGACCGGUGCGCACACGCCCCACACCGCUUGAAAAUUUAAAGGGGCAAUACUGUAUACGGAGGAACAGAAAUUGCUCGGAAAAAUCAGCAGAUUUGGCAGCAUCUGUGUGGAGACAAAUAGAGACGCUUUUUUCAGAACGAACAACCCGUCUAUUGUAAUCUUCGCCUUAAAGGGACCCUGGCACUUGCCCAAAUGGAGACAGCAGGAACCAACAGGCAGUUUCCUGCAAGAUGAAAAAUUAUAUACAGAAGAGGACCACUCUCCUGGCUCAGUCAUAAAAUUCAGACAUGGAGUAAAGAGUGCUUCAGUGCAUGGGUGCUCUUUCGGUUUGAGCAGGAUGUUCACCAUCUCAGUGAAAGGCCCUCCAGCACUUCUCAAGAUGAGAAUUCAGAGGUCUCUCAGAUAAGAAGUUUCUUGAUGCUGCCUGAUGUGGAGUAUUUCAAGCAACUUCUGCUUUUAUUCCAGACAUUUAAUGUCUGCAGUGUUUUUUAAAUUUAUGAUUAAACAAUCUAAUGUUUUGGCUUUUGCACGAAACGUCGAUUUUACUGCUCCUCGGAUGCUGCCUGAACUGCUGUGCUUUUCCAGCACCUCUAAU